UCGGAUUGCAGCUGCAACUCGACUGCAUGAAGCCGGAAUCGCUAGUAAUCGCGGAUCAGAAUGCCGCGGUGAAUACGUUCCCGGGUCUUGUACACACCGCCCGUCACACCAUGGGAGUCGGAAAUGCCCGAAGCCGGUGGCCUAACCGAUAAGGGAGGAGCCGUCGAAGGCAGGUCUGAUGACUGGGGUGAAGUCGUAACAAGGUACC
Molecule: ribosomal RNA, 208 nt
Filed under: uncultured bacterium
Lineage: Bacteria
Description: partial 16S ribosomal RNA
Rfam family: Bacterial small subunit ribosomal RNA
Source: RNAcentral